UCCUGUCUGCCCUUGAUGGAGCCACUGGUGGGGUUACUUGCUGGCGGUCGGCCACUUUCGCCCCUCCCUCGCCAGCCCGCCAGCUCCCUAAGGUUUUGUGGUUUUUUGUCACCACCACACCUCAGUGUUGAGCUAAGUGAGGACGUCCCCCCAGCAAAUGUAUUGGACGGAAGGAAACGCUGUGCGGGAGGAGGCGGAGGAAAGUAGGCCACCCGGGGCUCAAGUGAGAACAAGCACCAAGCCCUGUGGAUUUCAGAAGAACUCCACCUCCACAGAGUCCUCAAAGAUCUUCUCCUGAACUCCGCACUCCCCAGCCUUGAGAGGAGACACAGGAGCUGGAGGAAGCAGCUUUAUCCCUCACUUUGUGGUUCAGUCCAGCCUGUUUUCCAAGGGGUAAAGGGCAGUGGAAGGAUAACUAAGAAAAUAAUAAUAACAAAUGAAAGCAUCUCUGUGGA
This 455-nucleotide long non-coding RNA is filed under the name Homo sapiens (human). RNAcentral's name for it is "non-protein coding lnc-MRM1-2:3". The record is from RNAcentral. Lineage: Eukaryota; Metazoa; Chordata; Mammalia; Primates; Hominidae.